Long non-coding RNA from Poecilia latipinna (sailfin molly), 2034 nucleotides. RefSeq lists it as uncharacterized. The record is from RefSeq and is a predicted model, not a curated record. Lineage: Eukaryota; Metazoa; Chordata; Actinopteri; Cyprinodontiformes; Poeciliidae. The transcript is spliced from 3 exons.
ACCGUUUCCCAUUCAUUUCCAAUGGUAGUCCUAAACCACUACGGAUGUAAUAUAUUUUUGACCACUACUCCGUGGAGGCGCUGUCCAAUCUUAUAUCCAGGAGUGACACAGCCCUCUCCUUGCUUGGAUUCAGAAGAAGACAACUUUCCGGCCUUUAAACUGAAAUCUUUAGGAGAACUUACCAGCGUUAAGCAGAGAGAAGAAAAAAUAUCAAAGAAAUCGAUCUUCACAUCCAUCCUUCUUAAUUUUAAUAGGUCAAACUGCAGAAGACCAUUUUUUAUCCAGGGAAACCAAGUGUGGUUUUCCACAAGGGGCCCCUUGGCUUCCUUCUUCAGGAUCCCUCUCCUGAGGCAAAGAAGAUCAAAAAUAAUCCCAGUCUGAGCCUAAGAGAGAGGAUGUUGUGCAGCAGAAUGCUAUGACUGUGGUCCGGGAAAGAGGAGGGGAUGUCACAGACGCGUCAGAAGUCCUGGGAGAUUACAGCCUCCAAUUUGGAAAGUACAAAGGGAAGUGUUUCCGAUGGCUCUUAGAAAAUGAUGCAGGUUACACUUUGUACCUCAUCAGAAACCUUCAGAAGCAGGAGGAAGCUGGAAUCUGCAUCACUGAGAGCCUUAGCAAAGUAAACCACCUAACCUUUGUGAAAUAUGCUCUCAGUUUUAAAGAGAUUAAAGAUGCCCUGGACUAUGAAGCUAGCAGAGACAAUGUUACAGCAGCCUCUUCUGAAGAUGACCAGCUGGUUGGUUUUGGCUCUCGGGCCAAGAGCACUUGGAGGGAAAUUUGGGACGGUAGAAAAGAUGGUUAUGCUGCUUUCAUAGUGAAGAAGAGCUGUCUUCCUGGGACCAGGAUGAAGAAGCUGCACCAGUACCUGCUCAACAGACAACAGUCCUCCUUCAGUCAAACCAACACACCAUCCAGUGAACCAGAUAAAUGUCUGGGUGAGCAACUAUGAAUGUUGCAUUAAAAAUGUUAAGAUGACAGGGCAAAUACUGCCUUAAUUUUUUUAAAAUGCAAUAUUAAAUAUCUGUUUGUUGCAUAGGUAACACUAUCCGGAUGCUAUUCACAACUUCCUUAUCUGUUGUCUUAAAAUUAUAAUGAAGCCACAGAGAAAUAACAGAAUAACACUUCUUUUCAGAUUCUAGUACAAGUGCAGCUUCAACCUCCUUUUCUUUGCAGACAGUGCUGAAGACGCUUCCUCAGCUCAGCCACCCUUUGAUGUGCCCUUGCUUCAACAUGACAUGAACAGCUGGAACUGUUCUCAGCACCAGAAACUGUGGAUGAGGACAGAGCUGCAAGAUCUUGGCCUGUGACCUGGGUCUCGUCCUGUGCAAAAUGUUGGAAAUGCAAUUUCCCUCUGGCAUCAUCCUCCGCAGCCUGAGCUCAUAGACACAGUGGCUGAGCUCCCAUUUGAGCUUCACCAAUUCUUUAUUUGGAAACCUGAAAAUUAAAUCAUGUCAAGGCUGAAAAAUAACUAGAACCUCCCAUGUCUUCAUGGAUGUCCUCAACCACAAGUUGUUUCCGCUGGUGUGGGCCGACCUCAGGUGAUUGUUGGGACUAGUGGGCAAUAUUGCAUCCUGUCCUCUAGACUUUGCUGUUAGUCUUGUCGGAAGACCUGAUUUGUUGACAGUCCUCGUUGGCUGGAGAAGCAGCCCAGAAGAUUCACCAACCUGCUGCCUGCAUUUCUUACUUACAAGAAGGCCAUCUGUAAAUCAGUCAUGGAUGAACUCCAGACGCACUGGAAAGUCACCUGCAGAUAUGCCCAAGCAAGUGAAUGAGCUCAUGCAUCUCAAACAUGAACGAGCUCAUUUAGCUUAUCUACAGGCCACUGAGAGCAUCUGGGAUGCAGAGGCUGGGGUACAGGGACAGAGGACCAUUGGGUAGUUCUUCAGGAAAAGCCACACACCAUAUCCAUUCAGCUCCUACGAAGAUCCAAAUGACUGGUGUGGCAUCUCUGUGUCCGCCUUCUACCUCACAAACUGUUUGCUAGAGGAGUACAGACCUCAAGAGCCAGCUUUGUCAAGACUCCUCCAAGGGUCUUCA